UAGGGAAUCUUCGGCAAUGGACGAAAGUCUGACCGAGCAACGCCGCGUGAGUGAAGAAGGUUUUCGUAUCGUAAAACUCUGUUGUUAGAGAAGAACAAGGACGUUAGUAACUGAACGUCCCCUGACGGUAUCUAACCAGAAAGCCACGGCUAACUCCCUGCCAGCAGCCGCGGUAAUACGUAGGUGGCAAGCGUUGUCCGGAUUUAUUGGGCGUAAAGCGUGCGCAGGCGGUUUCUUAAGUCUGAUGUGAAAGCCCCCGGCUCAACCGGGGAGGGUCAUUGGAAACUGGGAGACUUGAGUGCAGAAGAGGAGAGUGGAAUUACAUGUGUAGCGGUGAAAUGCGUAGAUAUAUGGAGGAACACCAGUGGCGAAGGCGGCUCUCUGGUCUGUAACUGACGCUGAGGCUCGAAAGCGUGGGGAGCAAACAGG
Molecule: ribosomal RNA, 429 nt
Filed under: Gemmatimonadota bacterium
Lineage: Bacteria; Pseudomonadati; Gemmatimonadota
Description: Gemmatimonadetes bacterium partial 16S ribosomal RNA
Rfam family: Bacterial small subunit ribosomal RNA
Source: RNAcentral